AAAUAAAAAAAACGUACAUAUAAAAAUACCAAGAAUGAAAUAUAAAAAUUUACCAAGUUGCCUAAACUUGGUAUGGAGAAGUUGCACGAAUAAAGAAAUUAACACUACUGAACAGACUGGAUAAAUAUUGAACUGAACUUAGUAUGGUAAGGAUGAUGAUGGUUACGCUACCUCCCCUCGUAUAUAGAAUAAGAUAACUGGACUCGGUUGAAUUCUGCAUAGCUAUGUACUAAAUUCACCGUUUUUAAUUGUUGGCUAAUUUUUUCAUUGUGGACCAAAUUCAAAGUUAAAUCCAUUUGAUGCUCAAAACCGAUGACAAAAUUCCAAGUGCGAUUCAUUCUCAAUUCUUGCGAACUAAAUUCCGGUAAUGACUGGUUUAAUGUGCCAA
Drosophila grimshawi is the source of this 388-nucleotide long non-coding RNA. RefSeq lists it as uncharacterized. The record is from RefSeq and is a predicted model, not a curated record. NCBI's taxonomy places the organism in Eukaryota, Metazoa, Arthropoda, Insecta, Diptera, Drosophilidae. The transcript has 3 exons.